RNAcentral lists this ribosomal RNA (409 nucleotides) under uncultured bacterium. RNAcentral's name for it is "bacterial SSU rRNA". It matches the Rfam family "Bacterial small subunit ribosomal RNA", at positions 30 to 437 of the family's 1533-position model. The record is from RNAcentral.
AUUGAACGCUAGCGGCAUGCUUAACACAUGCAAGUCGAACGGCAGCGCGAGGUGCUUGCACCUUGGCGGCGAGUGGCGGACGGGUGAGUAACGCGUAGGAAUCUACCUUGUAGUGGGGGACAACCCGGGGAAACUCGGGCUAAUACCGCAUAAUCUCUACGGAGCAAAGUGGGGGAUCGUAAGACCUCACGCUAUAAGAUGAGCCUGCGUCGGAUUAGCUUGNGGUGGGGUAAGGCCUACCAAGGCGAUGAUCCGUAGCUGGUCUGAGAGGACGAUCAGCCACACUGGGACUGAGACACGGCCCAGACUCCUACGGGAGGUAGCAGUGGGGAAUAUUGGACAAUGGGCGAAAGCCUGAUCCAGCAAUGCCGCGUGUGUGAAGAAGGCCUUAGGGUUGUAAAGCACUUUC